UACUAAUCGUAAGAAAGGUUAGUAUACAAUACAUUUCAGUAAGCUAAAAUUAAUUUUACUAUUAUGUGUAUAGAGAUCGUGUCUCUGUCCGGUCCUGCAUUUUAUUCUCGGGCUUAUACACAUAAACAAUUUUCUCAUAAUGUACAAAUACACAAAUAGUCACACACGCACACAUACAGACAUAUCAUAUGUCUAUAGUAUGCAGUACAUAUAUAUGUAUAUGUAUACGUAUCUUUGGCUGGUAUUUGUGCUGCACUAAUGUGUGGGUCCGUCUGGUACUUACCCAGGGACAUUACAGGAAGAAAAGAGUUUCGUCAUUUAGUUUCGAUGAGAGAGAAUAUGAGAGGACGUACCCCGGAGUUUCGGUAAAAAUUAACGAAAUAAGUUCGUUUUUUUUCAAGUUAUUAUCCCUGUCUGUGGAUAUUACAUAUAAUAUUUGGUUAAUAAAGUUCGCGCACACGGCAGAGUUUCAGGUUCGUGAGUGCUAUUUUUAAAUUUUGCUGUAUAGUACUACGAUAUCGCAAAGUGUUAUUUUAAAAUUCAGUUUCUGUGUUACUGUGGUCAUCAAUAACGUAACAUCAUAUUUAACUACCGUUUAUAAUUUUUUUUUUAUUUAAAUAUAUCGUUUAAUACAGAUAUGUAGGCCCAUCAUAAUGUGAUAUUGAACGAUUGUGGAGAAAUUUUGGUAAACUGAAAUUUUUAAAGUUAUGUAAAUAUGUCCCCAACUGCAGCAAUGGUCUCCCAACCGUCCUCAAUAUCUUCAUUAUUUGUUCCGAAACGUCAAAGUUUUUCAACAGGGUCGGUGACCUCGAUAUACUCUUCCUACCCCUCAUCUAACUGCUAUCAAUACCUGACGUUCGAUCAGAAUCAAAAAGCGACAGAACAACAGUCGAAGUUGUUAUCGUCACCUUGGGGACCGUUUCCUAAUACGUCGGCCGAAUAUUCUUACAAUCCAUUCUACAGCAGUACCACCUAUGCGGCUACCAAUAUAAGCGACUCCCUUAUAGACCCCCUUAGUGGUCAGUUGGCGGAGUUGACCCUUUUCGACAGGCGCAGUUUUAAAAGACCUCCACCGACUUAUUUGUGUCAUCUGUGCUUUCAAAAAGGACACUACAUCAAGGAUUGUCCUUUGGCUCGACCAAAAGGAGAAGGGAAAACCCCUUACCAGGGGAGAAAACGCUGUUUCGGGGAGUACAAAUGUCCGAAAUGUAAGAGAAAAUGGAUGUCGGGGAAUUCCUGGUCGAAUAUGGGCCAGGAAUGUAUAAAAUGUCACAUAAAUGUUUUUCCUCAUAAGCAGAGACCAUUGGAAAAACCCGAUGGUUUAGAUGUUUCCGACCAAUCCAAAGUCCACCCUCAACAUUUAUGCCAAAAAUGUAAGGAAUUAGGAUAUUAUUGUCGAAGGGUGCAGUGAAAUACUUUACCAAAAACGAACAUUUUUAUUUUUGUCUUUUCCUUUUUUAUUAUUAUUUUUUUAUAUCGUUGAAAGUAUCUACGUGUCUGAUUCAAGGUACAAGAUUUUUAAUAUAACGGUGUACCUACUUACAAUUAUAAUGAUACUUCUUAUAUAUCUCACAAGUGAUGAUAUUGUCAUGAAAAGUUGUUUUUUAUCACUGAAGUUUAUUUUUUGUU
RNAcentral lists this unclassified non-coding RNA (1629 nucleotides) under Agrilus planipennis (emerald ash borer). RNAcentral's name for it is "zinc finger CCHC domain-containing protein 24-like, transcript variant X8". The record is from RNAcentral. Lineage: Eukaryota; Metazoa; Arthropoda; Insecta; Coleoptera; Buprestidae.